GUCUAGGCGGUUUUUUAAGUCUGGAGUGAAAGGCGACGGCUCAACCGUCGACGCGCUUCGGAAACUGGGGGACUUGAGGGCAGGAGAGGCGAGCGGAAUUCCCGGUGUAGCGGUGAAAUGCGUAGAGAUCGGGAAGAACACCAGUGGCGAAGGCGGCUCGCUGGACUGGCCCUGACGCUGACGCGCGAAAGCGUGGGGAGCGAACGGGAUUAGAUACCCCGGUAGUCCACGCCGUAAACGAUGGGCACUAGGUGUGGGAGGUAUCGACCCCUCCCGUGCCGGAGUUAACACACUAAGUGCCCCGCCUGGGGAGUACGGCCGCAAGGUUGAAACUCAAAGGAAUUGACGGGGGCCCGCACAAGCAGUGGAGCAUGUGGUUUAAUUCGACGCAACGCGAAGAACCUUACCCGGGCUUGACAUCCCCGGAACACCCGAGAGAUCGGGUGGCUCUACGGAGCCGGGAGACAGGUGCUGCAUGGUUGUCGUCAGCUCGUGUCGUGAGAUGUUGGGUUAAGUCCCGCAACGAGCGCAACCCUUGUCCCGUGUUACCAGCGUAAAGGCGGGGACUCACGGGAGACUGCCGGUGACAAACCGGAGGAAGGUGGGGAUGACGUCAAAUCAUCAUGGCCCUUAUGUCCGGGGCUACACACGUGCUACAAUGGCCGGCACAGCGGGAUGCGAAGGGGCGACCCGGAGCGAAUUCCUGAAAGCCGGUCCCAGUUCGGAUCGCAGGCU
RNAcentral lists this ribosomal RNA (735 nucleotides) under uncultured Bacillota bacterium. Its description in RNAcentral is "bacterial SSU rRNA". It matches the Rfam family "Bacterial small subunit ribosomal RNA", at positions 569 to 1306 of the family's 1533-position model. Lineage: Bacteria; Bacillati; Bacillota. The record is from RNAcentral.